Picea glauca (white spruce) is the source of this 123-nucleotide non-coding RNA. Lineage: Eukaryota; Viridiplantae; Streptophyta; Pinopsida; Pinales; Pinaceae. The record is from Rfam.
AUGUACAUUCCUACAACAUAUUGUUAAUGAACUAGAUCCCAUUACAACUCCACAGUUAAUCAUGCUUGGGCUAGAGUAGAAGUGUGAUGGAUGACCACCCAAAAAGUCCUAGUGUUUUACAUG